This 404-nucleotide ribosomal RNA is filed under the name uncultured Bicosoecida. RNAcentral's name for it is "partial small subunit ribosomal RNA". It matches the Rfam family "Eukaryotic small subunit ribosomal RNA", at positions 30 to 432 of the family's 1831-position model. Lineage: Eukaryota; Bigyra; Bicosoecida. The record is from RNAcentral.
GCUUGUCUCAAAGAUUAAGCCAUGCAUGUCUUAGUGUAAAUAACUCUUAUGAAACUGCGAAUGGCUCAUUAAAUCAGUUAUCAAAUACGUGAUGGUCGCCUACUACAUGGAUAACCGUAGUAACUCUAGAGCUAAUACAUGCGCAAAUUCCCGACUGUCGCAAGGCGGAAAGGAUGUAUUUAUUAGAUCCAACCAGCCCGGUUCGCCGGAGUCCCUGGUGAGUCAUAAUAACUGAGCGAAUCGCAUGGCCUUGUGCCGGCGAUGGUUCAUUCAAGUUUCUGCCCUAUCAGCUUUCGAUGGUAGGGUAUUGGCCUACCAUGGCGUUAACGGGUAACGGAGAAUUAGGGUUCGAUUCCGGAGAGGGAGCCUGAGAAACGGCUACCACAUCCAAGGAAGGCAGCAGG